GAGACACAGCAACAUAGGUAAUUCAAAGCUACAUUACGAGGUAAAUUUAAAGGACUUUUAAGUCAAGACAUAUUUUGUUUUAUAUCUCAUCAUCCCAUAGGUCAUUGAGGCUUGGCUUGGUUGGUCCAGGGAUCAAACGGUUCUGCUUAAUUUGAUCAAUUUUUUGGUGAUCCUCCUUUGUCAAAGACCAAUCAAAGAUUUGAAGGUUUUGGUUCAUUCUGUUCUUAUCAUAGCUCUUAGGAACAAAAGUGAUUCCUUGUUCAUAUAACCAUCUAAGAGAGAUUUGUGCAAUAGAUUUUCCAUGAGCAUCAGCAAUCUCUUUAAGCAUAUCAUUUUCCAUAACCUCAUUUGCUCCUCUGCUUGCACCUUUCCUCAAUGGUGAAUAUGCAGUUAACACUAUUCCAUUUUCAUUGCAAUACUCUCUAAGCUUCUUUUGUUGCCAUGCAAGAUUCAUCUCCACCUAUACAUAAAACAUGUUGUACAAGUUAGUAACAUUUUAUACAUAAAACAUUUUGUAUCUAAAGUUUAGUUUGAUUGAUGACUUACUUGAUUGACGGCGGGAAGAACAGUGGCAACAGAGAGGAGAUUUUGAAGUUUCUUGACAGAGAAGUUACUAACUCCAAUAGCUUUGGUGAGUCCAAGUUUCAAACAUUCUUCCAUUGAUUCCCACACACCUUUCACAUCAAAUGGUAAGAGAUCUGCCACAUCUAUUGGAAAUGAAAACUUUCCAGGCUGAGAACUUAGUGGCCAAUGAAUCAAAUACAAAUCCAAGUAUUCCAAUUGAAGAGUCCUGCACAAAUUAAGCAUCUCAAUAACUAUUUCAAUUCAAUUUUAACAUAUGAUAUUGAUAUGAAUUAGAAUAUGCUUACUUGAGAGAUUUUUGAAGAGCAGGAACAACAAGAUGAGGAUGAUUUUGAGUGAUCCAAAGUUUAGAAGUAACAAAAAGGUCUUCUCUAGUGACAAGACCAAGUUGACAUGCUUGUUUCAAAGCUUCUCCAAGAGCUUGUUCAGAGCCAUAUGCAGCAGCAGUAUCAAAGUGUCUAUAACCUUGUUUGAUUGCUUCUAUGAUUGCUUCUUUUGUGUCUUUCUUACAUGUGAAAUCAGGUGCUGAUCCCAUUCCUAUAACUGGCAUCUUCACUUGUUCUUUUGUGUUGACAAGAACCUUUGUUGGGAUUUCAAUAGCACUACCCAUGUUUUUGUUUUUGACGUUGUUGGAUUGGGAAAUUUUCAAUUUAAGAUUCUGUUAUUCUUUGUGUUGUGACUGAUGAUGGACUUAACUUAAUCUGCUGUAACCUUUUUAUAGCUAGAAAAAUUGAUACCUACUCACAAUAUUUAUCGUACUUGAUUAUUUGAUACAAAUUAAUAAAAAAGAAAAAUUAUUAAUUUAUUUUUAUUAUUUAUUGUUGUAUUUUUAUUAUAACAAAUAUAAAAUAAAAAAUAAUUUUUUAAAGUAAUAUAAAUUAUAUUAAUUGAAGAAUAUAAUUAAAAAAUAAUUACAUUGAAAAGAAAAAUAUUAAUUUUUUAAAAUAAAUAUUUUUUUUUUUUAUAAAUAUGAGAAUUAUCGAGUAAGAAUAAAAAUACAUUAUUUAUACUUUUUGAUUGGCACUCCAAUUAAGAAAUUUGUAUGGCGGCUUAAUAGAAAGGUUGGUGGUGAGUUGAUGAUGGUGGCUUACUCUAAUGAUGUCUAUAUAGUAAUAUAUCUUUGAAAAUUCCACCAAAGAAAAAAUAUAGAUUUUUUUCAUUCUUUGUUUUGUUUUGUUUAUUCAAAGAUUAGUCUCAAAUGUUGGAUCCUUAUUCCCAGAACCCGGACUUUAUCAUUCUAUCACUAUCUCUGUGGUUUUAAUUAUUGAGGGAACAAAGACAAUAAUAUAUAUAUAUAUAUAAAUUAUUAUAAUUUAGUUAUUAGAAAAUUCAGGUGAAUGUAAUUAAUUUUAAAUACAAUAUAAGUUAAAUUUAGUAAAUUAAAUUUUUUGAUGUAUUUUAAUUGCUUAUGACAAUGACAUAGAUAACUAACAAUCUAACAUCUCCUUUUCUAUAGGAAUAUUAUUAUGUGUUAAAUUAUUUUAUUCAACCAGUCAAGGUUGUGGUACUGCAUGCAGCAGGGUGAAGGUGACGAGCAUAAUUAUUUUAUACUUAGUUUAAGUUUUAUUAUUGAUGUCACAUCUUCUUUAUAAAAAAACUACCACCACAAUUGUUUUUCUUCUUCUUUCUUUUUGUCUAAAGUCAUUUGAUUUUUUAUUUAAUUUUUUUGUUAUAUGAUUUUGUCGGUUUAAUGUAAUUUAUUUUGUAUAUCAGUUAGUGUGACGUUGUUUUGAUUUUAUUGUUAUAAUUUUUUAUUUUAUUAGAGUAUUUAUUUUAUUCAGAUUAAAAUAUCAAUUCCGAUCAAGUACAAUUUCAAUUAAUAAUUUUGAUGUUUUUAACUUUAAAGUUUCAAAAAUAUGAAUAUUUUGAAUAGCUUCAUUUUAUCAUACUUAUAGAUUUUAUCAUAUUUAUUUAGAUAUUUUAUUAUAUUAUAUUAUAUAUUAACUUAAACGUGAGUUUUUUCAUAUAUUCAUCUUUUGUAGUUAUAAUGACUUUAAAUUGUAUUUUUCUUAAUUAAUCAAUGUGAUUUUCAUAAAUUUAAAUGAAUAAAUGUUAUUUUUAAUAAAAAAUCAUUAAUGUCACAUUUUGAUCACUAAGAAUAUUGCAAAAAUCAAUUCGAUCUUUGUAAAAAAUAAAUUGAGAAAAUAUCAUUCUUAUUUGAAGUAUCAUCAUAAAUAAAUAAUUAACUCUAUGAUAAUCAUAAUUAAAAAUUUAUAACUAGGUUUUUUUUAGCAAUUCCAGCAAGCAAAUCAAAUACAUGGUAUAGUUUACAUCCUCCUCAAGUCAAACGUCUUUUACCAAACUCUAAAACUUUUUUCUAAAUCUCGUGCUUAACUAAAAAAACUAGACUACAUCCAUCAAAAAAUAAGUUUAAAUUUAUUAAAUCGGAAAAAUGAUUAAUAUUAAAAAAUUUGACAAACUUUGUUAAGUAAUUUAUUCAAUUAAUUAUCUCUUUUUCAAUAAAUAAAUCUAAAUGGACCGUACAUCAUUCAAUUCAUCAAGAAACAAAGUUAUUUGACAAUUAUAGUAACUCGUCUAAGAAGAAUGAGGUUAGGCAUCUAUGGAAGAUCAUCUCAACAUGAAAAUAUAUAAGACAAAAUUUAAUUUAUGAGAACAACUGAAUAAAUUAAAAUAAUACAUACAAGUAAAAAUAUAUUAGUCUGACAAAAUCUUCUGAUCUAAUCUACGUAAGGAUUAAGUCGAUUUUUUAUUUAUGACAUUUUUAAUAAAUUUCUUAUUUAACUAAAAAAUCAGACCACAUUCCAUAAAAAAAAUCAUUUUAAACCUAUCGAAUCAAUCAAUUGAUGUAAAUAUAAUUAAUAUUAAAAAUGCACCAAAAUCAAACAAAAGACAUAUUAUAUAAGUGAUGAGUUGUUUGGAUAUACACUAGACGUCUAACAACAACAAGUCGGCAUAAAUAUAUGUUUCAUCCUUUAGAGAUAGUCGCAAAAUAAAAAUUGAUAUAUUUGCGAGCAUUAAAAACAAAAAGUAUUUUAAAAAAAACAAAAAAGUAUUAUUAAGGAAUUAAAAGUAAAAAAAACUGAUAUAUUUACAAAAAUAAAAAAAUACUUACAGAAAAAAAAAAUCAUAUUUCUAUCUCACAUAUUUCAUUUUUGGUCAAUAAUAUGUAGUAUAAUCUUUAUAUGAAAAAAAUAUGUAACAUAGUCUUGGUGAUUGACUAUUAUUUUUUACUAAUAUUUUUGAGUGUUACUUGGAAGACUAUAAAGUAUUCAUUAAAUAGGAUAAUGAAAGAUUUUACUGUAUUAGAUGUCCUUAAUUUUAUUAUCCUACUUUGUGGAAAGAUUUUCACAUUAAAAUUGUGUGUCUAAUAUUUAUUUUUCUGUUAAUUGUUAUUUUUAUGUGAAAUUGUAUUUUUUAUUUAGCAAUUUAUAUACACAUGUAAGAGAAAAGUAUUUUAUAUUAUUGAGAUAAGUAUCUUUACUUUUUCCAACAAAGUGGUAUUCAAAUUUGAUUUGUGCAUUUAAAUAGAGGAGAAAAAUUAAAGUCUGAAUAUGAUUAAACUCAACUCUACUAAUUAUACACUUUGAAAGACUCUCGUGGAAGAUAUGUUAUGCAACAUAGAUUUAUAUGAUCCUAUUGAUCGGGAGAAUAGAAAACUAGUGGCAUUUAUGAGACGUUAGUUAGACCUUAGUGAAUAUCCACAUGUAGAAACCGAAACUAAUGCUAAGAAGAUAUGGGAUAAAUUAAAAGAGUUGUACGAGCGGAAAAAUGUGUAAAAUAAAACACUCUUGAAUUAGAAGCUGGUGAAUAUGAAAUACAAAUAUGGGAAUUCACUAAAAGAGCAUGUGAAUAUUUUUCAGAAUACAGUGAAUCAAUUGACAACUGCAUAUAUUAAAAUGGAUGAUGAGUUGCAAGGAUUGUUACUCUUGAGUUCCUAGCUUGACAAUUGGGAAGUUCUAGUUGUGAUAUUGAUCAAUUCAGCUCUUAUUGAUGUUUGCAUGAUGGGUAAUAAAUCUCUUGGUGGUGCAAUAUAUUUUAUUAUUUUUAUUGAAGAUCACUCUAGAAAAUUGUGGGCUUUUUUCUUUGAAAUCUAAAGACCAUAUGUUUGGAGUCUUCAAGCACGUUCAUGCAAGUGUUGAAUGAGAACAUGGAAGAAAUUGAAAUAUGCUCAACCAGAUAACGAUGGUGAAUAUAUAGGUCUAUUUGAAGAGUAUUGUAAAGAAUAUGAAAUCAACCUUGAGAAGAUAGUUUCAAAGAAAACUCGACAUAAUGGUGUUUUAGAGAGAUUGAAUCGUACGAUUAAUGGCAAAGUCACGUGUAUGUUCUCUCAUGCAAAAUUAUCGAAAUCCUUUUGGGUUUAGGGUUUAGGGUUUAGGGUUUAGGAUAAGGACAAAUAGUUGAAGGCCAUGCAAGAAGAUAUGAAUUCAUUACAGGAGAAUCACACAUUUUAGUUGGUGAAAUUGUCUAAGGGCAAAAAAAUACUCAAUAACAAAUGGGUAUACAAGAUUAAGGCAUAAGAGAAUAGCUCUCAACCAAGAUAUAAAGUAAGAUUGGUUGUGAGAUGAUUUAAUCAGAGAAAAAAAUAUUGACUUUGAAGAAAUUUUCUCACCAGUGGUGAAGAUGUCUUCUAUCCGAGUUGUGUUUGGAUUAGUAGCUAAUUUGAACUUUGAAGUUGAACAACAUGAUGUGAAAAUAAAUUUUCUUCAUGGUGAUUUAGAGGAAAAGAUCGAUAUGGAGUAACAAGAAGGUUUCGAAGUCAAAGAUAAAGAACAACUUAUUAAUAAAUUGAAGAAAAAUUUGUAUUAAAUCAAACAAACAUCGUGACAAUGUUACAAGAAAUUUAGAUAAAUGCAUCAACAUAUAUCAACUCAAAUAUUUUUUAUUUAUUUAUUUAUUUAUAAAAAGAAACAAAUUUAGUAUUAAUAUUAUAAUUUGAUAUAUGUUGGGGGUCUGGAGUACUAUGUUUAAGGUUUGAGUAGAAAUGUAAUUUUUUUUUUUUUAUCUAAAAUUUAUUUCCUUAAUAUAAAGGUGGAUUUUUAUUUUGUUUAAUAUGUUUUUAAUUCUUACAAAAUUACAACAUUUUAACUUUAGUCCUUGAAAAAUGUCUCUUAAUUGGUAAUGGCUCCAUUUUUAUUUUUAUUUUUGUUAUAAUAUAAUGGUGAUUUCUUUUGGGUUGUAUAUAUAUAUAUAUAUAUAAUCUCUAUAAAAUUACAAUAUUUUAACUUCAAUCUCUAAAAAAAAUUUAUUCUCUUUAAAUCUCUGUUUUGAUUUUAGAUAUUUUUUUAUAGGCUAAAAUUAUCAUUUUUUUAUAAAAACAAUUUUUAAAAUAGCAACUAAAAGUGAAUAAAAAAAAUUUAAAAACUAAAAAAUUGAAAUUUUUUAAAGAUCAAAGUUAAAAUUUAAAAUUUUAUAGAGUUUAAAACUUAAUUUACUCAUUUUUUAAUUAUUAAAAUUGUAUUUUUUCUAUUAAAACACAAUUUUUAAGAAUAGAACAAAUUUUUUGUUAAAUGUUUGAGACGGCAGUGAGUAGUAGCACCAUUAUUAUAUCCAUCACUUGAUUUAGGGACUUAUAAGUUUACAUAUAUAUAAGUAGAACAAUUUAUUAGUAUGGUCUAGCUACACGUUCGUCUACUUGUAAUAUGCUCCAUUGUUUGGUCUUGUCUAUGGAUCAACAUUUUCUUUGAUAUUUUUUGUCUCAUAAUAAAUAUUAUUUUAAUAAAAAAAUUGUUUUUAAAUGAAUGACAUUAUUAUUUUUUAAUUGAAAUUUCAUUUUUUUAUUGUUCAUUUCAAUUUUAUUAAUUAUGUAUAGGACUUUCAAAGCUUUAAUUCUAUUUUAUAAAUAUAAUAAUAAAAAAUACACUUAUAUAUUUAAGAAGUAUAAUUUGAUAAAAUUAUUUAUUUUUUCUUUUUUUAUACAUUUUAUAAUAUUCAUAAAAUAAAAAAUAAAAUAUUAGUUUAAGAAUAUUUGCAACCAUGGUUGUCCAUGCUUGACAUAAAAUGAAUACAUGCACAUGGUGUUGUCUAUUAUUUUGGACUAUUUAUCUUGUGAUUUUAAGACAUUUUCUAGUCUAGUCAUGAUGUCUACUUUUUUGACAAGUGAUAGUGGUUAAUAGUAAAAUAAAGACAAUCCACUCAUAAUGUGAAAUACUUUAUAAUAAAAUGAGGACAAUUGUAGGGUACUAAAGUAGAUUGAGUUUAAGAUCUUAUUUACUUUACACUAUCUCCUCUGCACUCAUGAUGUGCAAGACUAUUUGAAGUCAAUUCAAUAAUUUCAAUUCACUUAUUAACAUUUAGGUGGCGGCAACGAAAACAUGUUAAUAGAUGGAGAUAAAUCAAUUGAGUCAAAAAAAAAAAAAUAGAAAUUGAAAAAAUUAAAUUAAAUUGACUCAAUAAAUGAACCUUCUCACCUUGGUCGCUAUGUUCUUUUCUUCAGAAUUUAUUCGCAUGAUUUUAAUAUUCAAACUGCGACAUGAAAGUCCAUUUUCGACGGCUUAAUUUGAAUCAUGUAUUCAGGUAACAAAAUAUGUACGCAAUGGGUUGAAAGAAUAGCCUCACGCUCCCAAGCUAGUAAGUUCAAAGUAAAAAUUACAUUUACACUCCAAGCUAUAGAUUUCAACUAUAAUUUAAAAUUAUUUAAACGGAUUAAUUAAUUUUACUCGAUAACAUUUAAAUAUGUCAAAAAUAAUUUUACAUAUUUAAAUCAAGUCUUUUCUCUCUAAAAAUGGAAUCAAACAUUAUAUCUAUAGAAGAGAAUUUCGAUUUUAGACAAUCUGAUUGUGCAAUUCACAAUAUUAUUCAAUUAAGAUUAAACAGUCUACAUUUUAAUACAUAUUUUGUUCAACUCACCUUUACUUUAAUAUAUCUAUUAUGGGUGGACUUCAUAUCAACAUAGUCUAGGCCCAACAGGAAGACAUGUAAUUUCAUAUUAAUCCGACCCAAUCAAAUAGCGUCAUAAAACCUUCCAUAAACUAGGACAAGUCACUUCAAAUGCAUAAUUUGAAGUGAUAGUCUAUCGUAACUCACUUUGACCUCCAAUCAUGACCACUAGAUGAAUAAGGAGAGAAUCAUGUGAUGACGAACACGUAAGAUAGCUCACAUGUGAAUCCCUUUUGAGUCAUUUGAUGACAAUAAUACUAUGAUCACAACCACUAGAUGGUCUACAGCUUCCUCUAAUUACAAGGACACAAAUCCAACAUCAUAAGGUGAUUCGAAGAUCAUGGAUUUCUCUUUGAUGAUCAUAAUAGGAAUCUUCUAGAAAUCUUGAAGAGUCACUAUAUGUAUAAACAGGACCUCUUAAGUCAUAAAUGUACACACAAAAUUUAACCUGAAAAGAAAACCUCUUUAACAAAUACUUACUUGAUCGUCGGAAUGUGUACAAAUACAUCUUCGGUGUGUCGGUGACAGAAAGGAUCAAAAACCUCCUCCAACUGUCGUACACCACUGUUUCCAUAGUCAAGUUCCUAUAUUCAGUAUCUCCAGUAUUAAAUAAUAUUUAAAUAUAAAUUAUUUUAUAUUCAAUUCACUUAUAAUUAAAAUCAUUUUGACAAAAUCAAUUUUAAUCCUCGCACGACUAAAUACAUGCUUACAUUUAUUAUCUUUCUUUGAUAUUUAUCUUUUUUUAUGUUUACUAUGUCAUUGUUCAUAAUUUUUGUUUCUUCAAACGUUUAUUAAGUUCUCACUUACUCACUCAACCCAACCUAUCAUCUUCUUUUUGACCAUUCUCUUGGUAGUACUAAGAAGUAUAAAACAUUUGGAAAACAACCAAGAAAUAGAGAAAAAAUAAAAUGGAGAUAGGAGGAUAAAAACUAUGAUUAUUUGUUGUUGCCAUUUAUCCACCAGUUUAGGCCAUAGGCCAUAGCCAUGACCUAACCACCUUCAUCAUCCUCAAUAUUGACAGAGUAGUUGGGUUCAAGCCCGUUUGCUCAUGCCAUACUUUAGUUUUUUCUAUACAAGCUCCUCUCAUUGUUUUUUUUUUUUUUUCAUUUUUUUUUCUGUAUUGAAUAUAUUUGGUUAAGUACUUUGUAUAUUUUGCAGUUGGCAUGAUCUUUUAGAAGGAUAAAAUUUAGUUACAAAACUUCAAUUUUUAUUUCUUUUAAACCUCACAUUCCAAUGAAAGUCACACAAAAAAGGAUAGUCCGACAGUCAAUAAAUUGUCGGCAUAUUAUUAUUACUAUAAACUUCAAAAAAAAAUUAUUUUACGUAAAAAAAAAAUAUUAUGCAUAUGCUUAUAUACUCAAAUGACAUCAUAAGAGAGAAAAAGAAACAAAAAAGGAUAUAAUAGAUUUAACAUAUUAGAAAUUGAUAAUGGAAGAAAAAAAAGAAAAAAUAAUUAAAUAGAAGUCGAAAAUUAAGAAUCAGUAUUUGAAUAAAUAAUUGUUAUCAACAUGUGGUUAAAUGGUUUGUCAUUUGUGAGACAUAGAUAGAGAGAUAGUACUCGUUCCACAUGGAAAUUUUGGCAGCAUGUCGAGUGUUAGGAACUUCUCAAUUAUUACAAUUACAAUUACAAUUACAAUUUUCUUUUAUUUAUUACAGUUUUUUUUUUUUUUUUUGUAUUAACACCUAUUUUUAGAACAUAUAAUAUAAAUUGAACAUUUAUUAAUUUUAUACAUAAAAAUUAUAGUAAUAUUUUUCUCUAUUUCUUUUAAAAAAUGGAAAAAAUCUCAACUCAACAUGUAGAGGUACACUACACUAUAAAUAAAUAAUCUCCAAUAGUUAAGUCGGAGAACACAAGAUAAUGCAUUGAGUAGUUCACUAUUUAACAUUGGUACAUGUAUACUCUAUAUCGACACUAUAUAUAUUUUUCUUUUUAUCACAUUAAUAUGAUCUAUCACAUUUUUUUGCAUUAUUUUUUCUUUCUUUUCAAAGUAGACAGCAUAAACUUUGAGUAGUUGAGGUACUAUAUUUUUUUUUUAACUGUUGUAUAUUAUUUUAUAGUCUUUGAAUUUACUGAUUAAAGAAAAAUGAAGAUUAAGUUAAUUAAUUAAAAACACAUUUAAACAUUAAAAUGACUAGACAUCUAAAUUUAUUUUUGUAAUUUUAAUACAUUUAAAAAAUAUUAUAUUGACAUUCAUAUAUUUAUUUUUAUAAAAAUUUAAAUAUAGUAGAAACACAAUCUAUAACAUAGAUUUUUUAAAUCACAUAAUUUAUUUUUUAAUGUGUUAAAUAUAAAAAAUAUUUAUUUUUCAAAAUUUAGUGAAGAUCAUCGUCCACACUCUUUUCUAAAUGGGUCCGUCCCCUAUGAAUCAAACAUUUUUCUUCAAUAUUUCUAAAUUAAUAUGCAUGCACAUUCUAAAUCUACUACUUUGUUGGGGCACACAUACCUUAAUAUAUACUAGUAUUUUAUUUAUUUUUUUAUAACCUUUUUGACGAGAUAUAUUUUUACUUGUUUGGCACAUGUACCUUUAUUGAAUUUGUUUACUCAAGUCAAUCCAAAUGUCAUGCUUGUGUGAAAAAAAUCUAAAUGUGGAAGAGGUUAUCUACCUCAAAUAAAAGUAUUGAUGGAACCCGUUACCAAAUCAAUUAUUUAAACUCAAAAUAAAAACAAGAAAAAUAUUAUUUAACCCGUUACGUCUCUAUUUUAUAUCCACAUUGAGUUUUUUAUUUAUUAAUUCUCUGGUCAAGUAUUUAGAUGUUAGGUUUAAAAAAUUCAUCAAAAUAUUUCAAAACUCAAAAAACUAAUAUUGAUAGAAAUACAUAUACAUCAACUAUCAAAUAGAUAUUCAAAAACAUAAAUUAAAUCUACGACCAAUAUAGAGGUGAGGGUGAGGAUAUUCUUUUUUAUUUUCUACUACGAUAGUGAUUUGUGCAUAUGAAAGUGAAAUAAAUGAUGUUUCUUGCAUGUAUACCCACACGUUUACAUUUCCAAUUUUAGAAAGCAACAAAUUUGAUUCCAUUGAAUUUAACACAGAAUAUAUUGUUAAGAGGAAUGUACAGAUGUUUCUUAAUAAAAAAUAAUAUAAUAAAAAAAUUGCCGACUAGUUUUUUUAAUAUUGUCAGAUAGAUAUCAUAUAGUAUUAUUCCUUCAUGGAACAUUUGGCACACUAUAAAUAGUUAGUAUCCGACAAUGUGGACCCACCGGUGUUUUACUAUUUUUAGGGGGUGUAUGUAGUAUCCAAACAUUUUCCAUUUCCAAAUCACAUAUCAUAUGGUUUCUUACUCAUUUUCUACAAUCAAGUCAAUGCAAAUGUCAUGUAAUUCAAACAUAAUCGAUUAUUUAAACUUGAUACUGGCACACAUGUAAUUCAAACAUCAAUUAGAGACAACAAUUGAAGAUUAAUUUAAAGGACUUUUAAGUUAAGACAUAUUUUGUAAUGUUUUAUAUCUCAUCAUCCCAAAGGUCAUUGAGGCUUGGCUUGGUUGGUCCAGGGAUCAAACGGUUCUGCUUAAUUUGAUCAAUUUUUUGAUGAUCUUCUUUUGUCAAAGACCAAUCAAAGAUUUGAAGGUUUUGGUUCAUUCUGUCCUUAUCAUAGCUCUUAGGAACAAAAGUGAUUCCUUGUUCAUAUAACCAUCUAAGAGAGAUUUGUGCAAUAGAUUUUCCAUGAGCAUCAGCAAUCUCUUUAAGCAUAUCAUUUUCCAUAACCUCAUUUGCUCCUCUGCUUGCACCUUUCCUCAAUGGUGAAUAUGCAGUUAACACUAUUCCAUUUUCAUUGCAAUACUCUC
This 11202-nucleotide long non-coding RNA is filed under the name Cicer arietinum (chickpea). RNAcentral describes it as "long non-coding RNA (CARI_LNC000611)". Lineage: Eukaryota; Viridiplantae; Streptophyta; Magnoliopsida; Fabales; Fabaceae. The record is from RNAcentral.